CUGGAAGUUGAUACCCAGAGUGGCUGG
RNAcentral lists this non-coding RNA (27 nucleotides) under Mus musculus (house mouse). Lineage: Eukaryota; Metazoa; Chordata; Mammalia; Rodentia; Muridae. The record is from RNAcentral.